UACGAAGGGGGCAAGCGUUGCUCGGAAUCACUGGGCGUAAAGCGCACGUAGGCGGAUUGCUAAGUCAGGGGUGAAAUCCUGGAGCUCAACUCCAGAACUGCCUUUGAUACUGGCGAUCUUGAGUCCGGGAGAGGUGAGUGGAACUGCGAGUGUAGAGGUGAAAUUCGUAGAUAUUCGGAAGAAUACCAGUGGCGAAGGCGACUUACUGGACCCAUAUUGACGCUGAGGUGCGAAAGCGUGGGGAGCAAACAGG
Molecule: ribosomal RNA, 253 nt
Filed under: uncultured bacterium
Lineage: Bacteria
Description: partial 16S ribosomal RNA
Rfam family: Bacterial small subunit ribosomal RNA
Source: RNAcentral